GGGGCUAUAGCUCAGCUGGUAGAGCACUAGCAUGGCAUGUUAGGGGUCAGCGGUUCGAACCCGCUUAGCUCCACCA
This 76-nucleotide transfer RNA is filed under the name Gammaproteobacteria bacterium. RNAcentral's name for it is "tRNA-Ala". It matches the Rfam family "tRNA". From Rfam's summary of the family: Transfer RNA (tRNA) molecules are approximately 80 nucleotides in length. Their secondary structure includes four short double-helical elements and three loops (D, anti-codon, and T loops). RNAcentral also lists the same sequence under 1 other name. Lineage: Bacteria; Pseudomonadati; Pseudomonadota; Gammaproteobacteria. The record is from RNAcentral.